Molecule: long non-coding RNA, 612 nt
Filed under: Androctonus crassicauda
Lineage: Eukaryota; Metazoa; Arthropoda; Arachnida; Scorpiones; Buthidae
Source: RNAcentral
AUUGAAGUCGGACGGAUGGCACAUCAUAAAGCUGUAGCUCACCACCCUGAAGAACACAGGUCAAAUCCGGGUGCCACACCUCCAGAUGUUUUAGAAAGGGUCAGGGCCCCGCUUGUUGAAUUCCAUCUUUCAACCAUCCGAUUGAUCAAAUCAUGGGGGCCCCACGAUUCGGUCAGUCGGAUAGUUCAUGGGGAUAGUUUGGUGAAUCGGAUAUGUCAUGGGGCCCAUCACAGGCUGGCGUUGUCCACCCUGUCAUGGGCUCUCUAGGACAUAUAUCUAUGCGAUAUGGCGGCUUAACCUACCUCACCUAAUCUAACCUCCUUUGAAAUCAAUUAUAUUCUUAUUAUGGUCCUAACCACUUUAAUAUUCCUACUUUUCAGAUCUAUAAUAUUCAUAUUUAUCUAUCUUCUACAGAAUAAAUCUAAGAAUAGAUUCAUUGGGUUCUCUUUUUCAAACAAUAGUAAACUUAUACAGAAUUUUAGACAAUUUGUUCGCUUCUGUCAUUUACUUUUUAACUUCACCAACAUAUCCUGGACUUCUAGCCAAUUCAGAAAUAAUGCCAACACUCAUUUUUUUAAUCCCGUUACAAAUAUUUUCUUAUUGAGUUCAUCG